AGCUCAGAACCCCCACAGGCCAGGCA
This 26-nucleotide non-coding RNA is filed under the name Rattus norvegicus (Norway rat). Lineage: Eukaryota; Metazoa; Chordata; Mammalia; Rodentia; Muridae. The record is from RNAcentral.